This 774-nucleotide ribosomal RNA is filed under the name uncultured Neocallimastigales. Its description in RNAcentral is "partial large subunit ribosomal RNA". It matches the Rfam family "Eukaryotic large subunit ribosomal RNA", at positions 18 to 643 of the family's 3401-position model. Lineage: Eukaryota; Fungi; Neocallimastigomycota; Neocallimastigomycetes; Neocallimastigales. The record is from RNAcentral.
UCAGACGAUGCGUCAUGCAUAUCAAUAAGCGGAGGAAAAGAAACUAACAAGGAUUCCCCUAGUAACGGCGAGUGAAGCGGGAAGAGCUCAAAUUUGAAAUCUUAAAGGGUUUCCCUUUACGAAUUGUAGUUUAAAGAAGUGUUUUCUGUUGAGGUUUUGGUAAGAGUUCUUUGGAAUAGGACAUCAUAGAGGGUGAGAAUCCCGUAUUUGACCUUUACUUUCAACUUUGUGAUACACUUUCAAAGAGUCGGAUUGUUUGGGAAUGCAGUCCAAAAUGGGUGGUAAAUUUCAUCUAAAGCUAAAUAUUGGCGAGAGACCGAUAGCGAACAAGUACCGUGAGGGAAAGAUGAAAAGAACUUUGAAAAGAGAGUUAAACAGUACGUGAAAUUGUCAAAAGGGAAGCGUUUGACACCAGUGUUGUUUUUCUGAAAAUCAAUUAAAGAACUGUUUAUGCUAAGUUGUUUAGACUUUAUCAGCUAACUGUUUAGUUUUGAGCUUUUCUUUAAUGCACUUUUCAGUUAACAAGUCAACAUCAAUUUCUUUUGCUGUAAAAAAGCUUGAGGAAGGUGGCUUGAGAUUCGUCUUAAGUGUUUAUAGCCUCUUGCCUAUGCAGUCGGAGAGAUUGAGGUCUGCAGCGUAGAUCCUUCGGGGCUAAAUGCAUUUGUGCUAAGUUAUAGCAUUUUAUAGACAACUUGUUGACUAUGAUUUGUCUUGUAGCUUACUCGCUUAUGUUAUUUUACCUACGCUUAGGAUGUUGACACACGCGCGUGCUCG